This 107-nucleotide small nuclear RNA is filed under the name Vulpes vulpes (red fox). Lineage: Eukaryota; Metazoa; Chordata; Mammalia; Carnivora; Canidae. The record is from RNAcentral.
GUGCUCACUUCAGCAGCACAUAAACUAAAACUGGAACAAUACAGAGAAGAUUAGCAUGGCUCCUGUGCAAAGAUGACAAGCAAAUCUAUGAAGCAUUCCAUACUUUU